Gossypium arboreum is the source of this 1641-nucleotide long non-coding RNA. RefSeq lists it as uncharacterized. Lineage: Eukaryota; Viridiplantae; Streptophyta; Magnoliopsida; Malvales; Malvaceae. The record is from RefSeq and is a predicted model, not a curated record. The transcript is spliced from 4 exons.
GCUUUUCCGUAAAACGUAAAAGCUUUUCAGGCUUUUCUAACGUUUGGAUGGCUGAAAAUAAUUUCCUACCGUAAAAUAUUUUACAGAACACGGGAAAAUCAAGUUUUUUUUAAGAAAAUGUCUUACCGUUUUGAAUUCGAUAAGACAUUUUCCGAAAAAUGACGUUUCUUCUCCCCUUUCCCCUUCCCCUUGGGUUGCAAAUCAGUGCCAUUGACAAUAGUUUGGUCAAGGACCUUUUCCAGUUCCUCCUUCAACCAGGUAAGGCUCCUUCUCCUUCUUCCGUUUUUCAUUCCUUUUCCUUCAUCCGUUCUUCAUCUUCUCUUCCAGGUAAAAGUCAGUCGUAUAUCUUUUUUUGUUUUUUCAGUCAUAACAAUUUCCCUUUCAUUGUUUCUUAUUUUCAAGUACCUUUCUUCAUACAAGAAUCCUGAGGUAAGUUUUUGUGUUUUUAUUUUUUUCUAAUUGAAAUUUUCAUUUUUUUCCUUAUUUGGUUUUGCAUUUUUUUUAAAAAAAUUUGUGUUCUUGGAUUGACGGGAGCAAAAGUUCUUGAUCGGAGUUGUUCUUAUGGUUCCUUGCUAUUCUGUAGAAUAGGAUUUGGCAUUUGAUCUGUCCCUUUCUGCUCUUUUGGGAGAUAACAUCUACAACUUUAGAGAACUCCUUGCUCAUCCAAUUAUUGUGUCUUUUAGGGACCAAGGUGGAGUGGCUUUAUUAUAUCCUCCAAUCCUUCAACUCUGGGAAUUUUGUUCGCUAUGAAGAAUUGUAUGGGUAAUGAUACAGUUUUGUUCUUCAAGAAAAUCCCCUCAAAUGAAAGAAAAUCUCUUGUUAAACGUAAACCCCAUAUCAAAUUCUUCACUCCAAUUCCUUUCUUUCCAUUGUAAGAAAAAGCCCAAAUAUCAUUUUUGAAAGCACCAUCUUCUCUUCCCUUUUCUUCAAGAUCCUCUUCUUCUUCUUUCGUCCCCUUUCGUUCCUCCACUUCUUAUACUAGUUCAACUACGAAGGAGUUCAAUUUGGAGUCCAAUGGAUUGCCCCAAACCUCAAAAUCUAAUCUUGAUGGAGAAUCCAAUGAGAAUUACAAUGUGGGGAUUGGUCAUCCAAUCGUCCCAAAUUUUAUUCCAACUCAAAAGAUGAGUUUGAGUGAUCAAGCCUUCUAUCUGUUCACUUUUAUUCCUUGUACGGCUUCUUUGGCGUUUACAAGUCUGGUCAUUGCAGCUGUUGGAUAAUAGGAUGGGCAAAGUACAUAACGCUUAGUUAUCAAUUGAGGCUGAAACACCUGAUCUCGUUGCAUCAUGAAUUUUUUUCUCCAGUUCCUUUCUGCCAUUGUAACAAUUUUGUUAUUUGAAAAGGACAAGAAGAAGGGAAAGUGAAAUGAUGAGCAAUGAGGAUAGAGAUAAGCGUUAGUCAUUUACAGGUAGAGCCAUCUUAGUAUGAUUCCUUUAAUAGGUAUUGCUUGAUCCUUAAAUCUUUGUUUUGAAACGAGUGGCUCAUGUACUAAACUUUUCACUUUUUGGCAUUUGUUGGAUCUAAAAUGGCACUGGAAUGCCUGAGGAUACGGUUAAAACUGCAAACAUCAUUCUUAUCAUUCAUUUUGUAUUGGGAUUUUUCAUUAGAUACAAUCAUAUAUCAUUAACUUUUAUGUGGAUGAAA